AACGAACGCUGGCGGCAGGCUUAACACGUGCAAGUCGAACGCAUCCUUCGGGGUGAGUGGCGGACGGGUGAGUAACGCGUGGGAACGUGCCCUUCAGUUCGGGAUAACCCAGGGAAACUUGGGCUAAUACCGGAUACGUGCGAGAGCAGAAAGAUUUAUCGCUGAAGGAUCGGCCCGCGUCUGAUUAGCUAGUUGGUGGGGUAAUGGCCCACCAAGGCGACGAUCAGUAGCUGGUCUGAGAGGAUGAUCAGCCACAUUGGGACUGAGACACGGCCCAAACUCCUACGGGAGGCAGCAGUGGGGAAUAUUGGACAAUGGGCGCAAGCCUGAUCCAGCCAUGCCGCGUGAGUGAUGAAGGCCUUAGGGUUGUAAAGCUCUUUCGUCCGGGACGAUAAUGACGGUACCGGAAGAAGAAGCCCCGGCUAACUUCGUGCCAGCAGCCGCGGUAA
This 449-nucleotide ribosomal RNA is filed under the name uncultured bacterium. RNAcentral's name for it is "partial 16S ribosomal RNA". It matches the Rfam family "Bacterial small subunit ribosomal RNA", at positions 29 to 523 of the family's 1533-position model. The record is from RNAcentral.